This 216-nucleotide long non-coding RNA is filed under the name Vitis vinifera (wine grape). Its description in RNAcentral is "long non-coding RNA (VVIN_LNC006776)". The record is from RNAcentral. Lineage: Eukaryota; Viridiplantae; Streptophyta; Magnoliopsida; Vitales; Vitaceae.
GUACGGUCUAUAAUGAAAACCAGACAUGACAAUGACUUGACUAAUCAUAUAAGUAUGGUCUAUGCCAAAAUAAAAUUGAACUGUCAUUACCGAUCGAAUAAGACGCAAUCUAUCAUGAAAAGAAGACAAGGCAAUGAUAUGAUCAAUUAGACAUUAUUAUGUUUAUUACGAAAAAUAGAUAGGACAAUGACAUGACCAAUUGUACAAGUGUGUUCC